AUUCGAUCAUUAAAUUGUGGUAAAACUGAACAACAAUGUUCGAAGCGUCACUUCUCUUUUACUUUCUUCUUCCCUUUCUUUUCAUCUUCUUCAAACUACUUCUUACCAAUUCCGAUGAAAACUCACAACCUAAAUCAUACCCCUUCAUCGGCAAUUAUCUCUCCAUCUACGCCAAUAGCCACCGUCUUACACAGUGGACCUCCGACGCUAUCCACAACUCCCCCAGCUUCACCUUCGUGGUCCGCCGUCCUUUCGGUCAAAAACGUGUGCUCACCGGAAACCCCGCAAACGUUCAGCAUAUCCUCAAGACUAAAUUCUCAACAUACCAAAAAGGCGAUAUUUUCCGGUCAACUCUCUUCGAUCUGCUCGGAGAUGGAAUCUUUAACGUCGAUGGGGACGAAUGGAAGUUCCAGAGGCAGCUUUCCAGCCAUGAAUUUAACACAAAGUCCCUUCGCCAUUUCGUCGAACAUGUGGUCGAUGAUGAACUCAACAAACGUUUAAUCCCAAUAUUAACCACCGCUGCUGCUAAUGACACUGUUCUUGAUCUCCAAGACAUUCUUCAAAGAUUUGCACUUGAUAAUAUUUGCAGAAUCGCCUUUGGGUAUGAUCCUGCUUACUUAACCCCGUCGCUGCCAAAAGCUAAAUUUGCAGUUGCUUUCGAAGACGCUGUUCGUAUUAGCAGUGAGAGAUUCCGUACGAUUACGCCAUUGUUUUGGAAGUUCAAAAGGUUUUUAAACAUCGGAUCGGAGAAACGACUUAAAGAAGCAGUUGCCGAGAUUCGUCGGUUCACCACGAAAAUAUUGAACGAAAAGAAACAAGAACUCACGACCGAACCCGUUGAUUUGUUAUCACGAUUUCUGAACUCGGGUCAUUUGGAUGAGAACCUUGUAACGGAUAUUGUAAUCAGCUUCAUACUCGCCGGAAGAGACACAACCUCGGCGGCUUUGACGUGGUUCUUCUGGUUACUUUACAAGAACCCGGCGAUCGAAAAUGAAGUUGUGAAAGAAGUCAAAGAGAAAUCAGAUUCCCCCAUUUACGAUGAAGUGAAGGAUAUGGUUUACACUCAUGCUAGUCUCUGUGAAAGCAUGAGGCUCUACCCGCCGGUUCCGGUGGACUCGAAGCUGGCGAACGCCGACGACGUUUUGCCGGACGGGACCGUCGUGAAGAAAGGUAUGAUGGUGAGUUAUCAUCCGUAUGCAAUGGGAAGAAUGGAAAGUAUUUGGGGGGGAAAUUGGACAGAAUUCCAACCGGAGAGAUGGUUGGAGAAGGAUGAUACAGCGGAGAAGAUGAAGUUUAGGGCGAGGGAUCCGUAUGUGUAUCCAGUGUUUCAGGCGGGUCCGAGGAUUUGUCUGGGGAAGGAUAUGGCGUUUUUGCAGAUGAAGCGAGUGGUGGCAGGCGUUUUACGGCAGUUUAUGGUGGUUCCUGCGGUGGAUGAUGGUGGUGAGCCAGUUUUUGUGGCGGCUUUGACCUCCAAAAUGAAAGGUGGGUUUCCGGUCAAGAUUAAGGAACGAAAGGAUGAUUAAAAAAGUAAUUAUGAACGGGUUUGAUGAGCAAUCUACAUAUAUGUAACUGAGGAACACUCCUGUGGUUUGGACUGGAUACGGGAUCAACACGAUCUUUUCCGGAAUUGCCGGGAGCAUGGAUAUAGAUUAAUGGUACGGUUAUUCAAUCACAUUCGGCCGCACAAAACCCUAUCAAUAAUUGAAGGAAGACUAGCGAUUGCAAGGAGUCAAGGGCUUUGUGAAGUAUUCGUCAAUUCAAGAUAAAAUGUGGAUAUUUCUGGUGAUGAUGACAAUUGUUAAUCUCGGAGGUACUAAGCGUGUAAGAAAAGAACCUUGACAAAUUUUAGUCACGUCAUCAGGUGAAGGAAGUGAAGGUGAACUCGAUCCAAAAUUGUGUAUGCUUCGUCGACGUAAACGUGCUAUGUCAUCCAUUGAUGCAACAGGUAAACCUUAUAUGUUUUUACUGUUUACUAAAAGUUAAGUUAAAGAAAAAUUUAAAUGUAAUGGAUUUCAGAUUUCUAUUUUUGACCUGAUUUGUGUUUUUAACUUCAAAUCUGAAAUUUUGGACAAUGUACUUUUUACAACCUUAUCAACAACUUAAACAACGUGUGGGUGUUAUUCGGUUGGGUAAUUAUAUUUUCUUUUUAUUCGGGUUCGGGAAAUGUACUUUCUAAUUUCUGCAGGAAGAAGUGGUUCGAGAAAAAAAUCCUCAAUCAAAAUCAAAUUUGCUUGUUGGUGAAGGAGCUGUCUCUAACACAACUGAGCCAGUAGUUUGCCAAAAUACGGAUUUUUUUCCCAAAUCGGGCACUACAUGUAAAGAUCAUCAAACCAUGGAUAUACACCCAUGCUUAACACAAUUUAGUGAAGAUGGAUUACAAUAUCAUUUUCUUUUUUAUUUUAUAAAAGCCACUGCUAUGUCUUCUUUUGCAUCCUUUUUUUAGUUUUUAAAGAUCAUCAGACCAUGCAUAUAAACCCAUGCUUUCUUAUACAAAAUAACAACAAUUCAACUGUGAUUGCCAGAGAAGAAAACUAGAAAGAAAACCAAAUCCUUGUUUGUUUUAUUAAUUAUCUCCUUCAGUUUAGUCUAUAUCUCUUUGUCUCUAUCUAUCCUCACAUCAUAAACAUAGAACUGUUACAUCCUUUCAUGGCAUCUGUUGGAAUAAUCAAAAUCUAGGACAGGUUUCACCCAGGGGUAUUUUGGGAAAAACCAUCGUAUUUUUAGUUUUUUUGUUAGAUUAGGAUUUUUUUUUGGUUUAGUAUGAAGUGGAAAUGUAUCUAUGAUGUUUUAAUUAAGUUUUAUUCAUAUUUUUCUCAACAAAGCUUGGAGUACAAGAAAAUUUUCCCAGAAAAUUUUUCCCCUGUUUUGUUCUUCACCUAUUCCGCCUCUGUAUCUUGUUUUUAUGUCUCUGGCCAGCUGUGAUUUCUGUGUUUCUUUCUUUCUUUCCACUUAUGUUUAUACAUUUACACGCUUAUGUGACUAAAAAAAAGGAGGGAGUGGUUCUAGAGAAAAUACUCAACCGGAUUCAUUAGCCACAGAGGAAGUCGUUCCAAGUAAUAGUAGACAAUUUAUUCUUUUAUUUAUAAUAUUACAGGUUAUGCAUUAGUUGAUGUAUACUUUCUGUUGUGUAGAUCAACCACAGAGGCGGAGGCGAGGCCCUAAUAUUAAUAAAAAGGCUUCAUAGAUUUUGGAAAAACAACCUGAUGCUCGAAUUACAUUGACAAGAGAUACCUAUACAAAGAAAUUCAUUGGGGAUUCAGCAAUAUCUUUUGCAACGGAGGUUGGAAUUGUGAUGCGGAGCUUUUGUGAAAUGGAAUUCCAUACAUGGGAGAAAGUAGCAAAAGAAAAUAAAGAAGAAAUGAUUAACAGAUUACGUGAAAAUUUUGAAUUACCGCACGAAGAUAAAGUUCUGAUGGAGUAUGUAGAUGAACAAAUGCGGCGACAAUGGAAACGCGCACGAAAUAUUUUCAAAGAUUAUUGGAAGAAAAAUGGAGGAAUGACGGAUCCAUAAUUUGCAAGAUCUAAAAUGAAGCCAGAUUGUCGUAGCGAAGAAGAUUGGGGUUAUUUGUGCGAUUAUUGGGAAUCGGAUAAAGCGAAGCAAUAUGCUGAACAAAUGAAACAUAAUCGGGGAAAACUUGCUAUUCCAAGUAGAGGAGGCUCAAGAUCGAUAGCAAAUCACAAAUUUUCCAUGACAAAUAAAGAGACUCAAAUGCUCCCCAGUCCAAUCGAGUUAUAUCAAAAGUUGCAUUUUGAUCCUAUAAAGAAAUGCAUAAAUGAUGAGUCACGCAUUCAAUACGAAAAUAUUCUCCAACUCAAGGAGGAAGAAUGUGUCAAAUUAGUUUCGGCAGGAACAAACAUUACUUAAGAAAUGGAAUACGACAUACAGAAAAAAGUCAUUAAAACUAUUUGUGUCAAACAUAAAACAUUAUAAUCUGGAUGGGAGGCUUCAAGUGGACCUGUUAUGAGGAAAAAAGAUAUACAUCUCUUAUCAACCGCAGAAACAUCUCAAUCAGCCUCAAAAGACGAAGAAGAUAUGAAAAAGUAAGAUUGUUGCACUUGAGGAGGAGGUUCGAAUAAAUGACCAAAAAGUCAAACAAAGUGAGGAAAAAUGUGAAAAAAUGUUCCAGUUUAUUAUCUCGAAGUUCCCGGAUUCUUAAAACAUAUUAUGUCCACCCGAUGAAGAUGAAGCUCGUGCGUACGAUGACAUAACAGAUCUAUCAGAGCAAGCGUAGCAAGCGUAACAUUCUUGACCGGUUAUUAAAAUUUGGAACUUCUUUCACGUAUGGUUUAGUUAUUGACUAGUUUAUUAGACAUUUUUGUUUGUUGUUUUAAAUUUGGAUAUGAUGUCUAAAUUACAGUUUAUUUAUCUAGUACUAGGUCAUUUGGUGUA
Non-coding RNA from Lactuca sativa (garden lettuce), 4390 nucleotides. The record is from RefSeq and is a predicted model, not a curated record. NCBI's taxonomy places the organism in Eukaryota, Viridiplantae, Streptophyta, Magnoliopsida, Asterales, Asteraceae.